UAGGGAAUCUUCGGCAAUGGGGGCAACCCUGACCGAGCAACGCCGCGUGAGUGAAGAAGGUUUUCGGAUCGUAAAGCUCUGUUGUAAGUCAAGAACGGGUGUGAGAGUGGAAAGUUCACACUGUGACGGUAGCUUACCAGAAAGGGACGGCUAACUACGUGCCAGCAGCCGCGGUAAUACGUAGGUCCCGAGCGUUGUCCGGAUUUAUUGGGCGUAAAGCGAGCGCAGGCGGUUUGAUAAGUCUGAAGUUAAAGGCUGUGGCUCAACCAUAGUUCGCUUUGGAAACUGUCAAACUUGAGUGCAGAAGGGGAGAGUGGAAUUCCAUGUGUAGCGGUGAAAUGCGUAGAUAUAUGGAGGAACACCGGUGGCGAAAAGCGGCUCUCUGGUCUGUAACUGACGCUGAGGCUCGAAAGCGUGGGGAGCGAACAGGAUUAGAUACCCUGGUAGUCCACGCCGUAAACGAUGAGUGCUAGGUGUUGGAUCCUUUCCGGGAUUCAGUGCCGAAGCUAACGCAUUAAGCACUCCGCCUGGGGAGUACGACCGCAAGGUUGAAAC
Molecule: ribosomal RNA, 555 nt
Filed under: uncultured bacterium
Lineage: Bacteria
Description: partial 16S ribosomal RNA
Rfam family: Bacterial small subunit ribosomal RNA
Source: RNAcentral